CUGAAGGAAGACGGCAAAGCUUCUUAAGCAUGGAAUUUACAACAGAUCUAAAGAAUCCAACUUGAUAAAAAUGAAAUGAGCACGUUGUGCAAUAAGUUUUAAUCAUUUAAGAAUUUCCGGUAACGGAAACUUGACCCUCAAAUUAGAACUUUGACUCGAUCGUCAAAACUGUUACACCUUGGAGUUGUUUACACAUUGAUCUUUUUUCAUCACCCGCAUUUUUUUUUUAUGACCAUGGGUAUCCGAGUCAACUUACGCGCAUCUCGACUAAUCCCACGGGACCCUGAAGUUUAUGGUCGAAUACUCACCUAAGUGGCCCUAAAGAACUCGAACUGGUGACAAUUGGGGAGCAAAUCCAGAGCCUGAGCUAACUCCCAGGGUUUCAUCACCGCAUUCAAAUAAGAACCCUUUCCCUCCCAGGGUUUCAUCACCGCAUUCAAAUAAGAACCCUUUCCCUCUUAACAUUUUUAACAUAUUCUAUGAGAUUCGCCAAUCUUGCACAAUGAAAAGCUCUAACUAUAUAAAACAUGCUAGAAUAUGUUAACAUAUUCUAUGAGAUUCGCCAAUCUUGUACAAUGAAAAGCUCUAACUAUAUAAAACAUGCUAGAAUCAUCCAAGAUGUCUUUUCCUCUGUAAGCGUAUGGUCUCAAUAAUUAUUCUAUCUAUUCUAUUGCUAUUCCACAUCCGUCUUAACAUCUUGAACCUUGCUGCAUUCUUCAAAUUAUUUUGGUCCUGCAUUAAACUCAGCAAUAUAAACUAUAACAUGUCUAAUGGCCAUUUUACUUAACUACGUUUUCAAGUUACAGUUCUCAUGAUUAUAUUAGGAAAAAAAUAAAUCAGUGCAAACAUCAAUCGAAGACCAGGAGAG
RNAcentral lists this long non-coding RNA (868 nucleotides) under Olea europaea (common olive). Its description in RNAcentral is "long non-coding RNA (OEUR_LNC014501)". Lineage: Eukaryota; Viridiplantae; Streptophyta; Magnoliopsida; Lamiales; Oleaceae. The record is from RNAcentral.